This 663-nucleotide ribosomal RNA is filed under the name uncultured bacterium. RNAcentral describes it as "bacterial SSU rRNA". It matches the Rfam family "Bacterial small subunit ribosomal RNA", at positions 8 to 689 of the family's 1533-position model. The record is from RNAcentral.
AGGGUUUGAUCAUGGCUCAGGACGAACGCUGGCGGCAUGCCUAACACAUGCAAGUCGAACGAGAAAGUUCCUUCGGGAGCAAUUAAAGUGGCGCACGGGUGAGUAACGCGUAGACAAUCUGCCCUUCAGUCUGGGACAACUUUUCGAAAGGAGAGCUAAUACCGGAUAACAAUGCAUGACACAAGUUGUAUAUUUGAAAGCUUUAUGUGCUGAAGGAGGGGUCUGCGUCCCAUUAGCUAGUUGGUAAGGUAAAGGCUUACCAAGGCAACGAUGGGUAGCGGGUUUGAGAGGACGAUCCGCCACACUGGAACUGAGACACGGUCCAGACUCCUACGGGAGGCAGCAGUGGGGAAUAUUGCACAAUGGAGGAAACUCUGAUGCAGCAAUGUCGCGUGAGUGAAGAAGGCCCUUGGGUCGUAAAGCUCUUUUAUGGGGGAAGAUGAUGACGGUACCCCAAGAAUAAGCACCGGCUAACUAUGUGCCAGCAGCCGCGGUAAUACAUAGGGUGCGAGCGUUGUUCGGAAUUACUGGGCGUAAAGGGCGCGCAGGCGGAAUAGUAAGUCGGAGGUGAAAGCCCGGGGCUCAACCCCGGAGGGUCUUUCGAAACUACUAAUCUAGAGAGGGUCAGGGGCCGGCAGAAUUCCUGGUGUAGAGGUGAAAUUC